CAAAUCAUGAGCUCAUUCAGAUUCUUUUCCCUAGUUCAUGCGCUCACCCACCCCCGAUCCACACGUACUCCAAUAUGGCUCAGAUGUCCUGGUCUUCCACCCAAACCCCCAUGUCAGUGCGGUCUCAAAUGCUUAUCCUCAAGGAAGGAGCCUGGCCCCGGCUCACUGAGAGAAAGGGCUGUGGAACUGCACAGAGAAAUCCUCCCACAACAGCGUGCCCCCGCUCUAAGUGUCACCGGGAAGUCACAUCAAAUGCUCUGAAGGUGCUGAAUAUAUUUUUCCAAUUGCUUUUUAGCUUUGUAAUUACAAGGAUCUAAAAACCUUGAUUUGCCUUUUCAAUAACUUACGGCGAAAACGCGACGCCGGCACGAGCAAAGCAAUUUCCACUCUGCCUGUGGGACGGACUGGACGGCGAAGGAGCAGAAGGCUAGGGAGGCGAUAUUUCUUUUUCUCUCUCCUCCAGUGUUCUGGUUUGUCACUCAUUUUCAUUUCCUGUUUUUAAAUGCUAGCUAGUGAGCCUCCAAUUCCACAUGCGAGGAUUGUUUUCCGAUUUCAAAGCCCAGCGAGGCCACAUUCAAAUAGGAACGGGGACUUAUUUCGGUUAAACUCUGGAAAGCAUGGAAAUGAAGAGAUUUUUGUUUCCCUCAUUGCAUGUCUGUUAUUCAUCAUUCUCUGCUAUUUCCGUGAAUUUUAAGGACAAGGCAAUGCGUUGGUUCGGUCUUUCACCAUUACUCAAAUGCCAUUCAGGGGCUUUAAUUCUGUUUCUUUUCUGAUCCUCUUUGUGUAGGAUUUGUUUUCCUGCUGUUAUUUUUUUGCUCGGUUGUUUCCUUUUUUUUUUCCCCCAAUUUAAUCUACCUUACUUUUUUUUAUUAUUGUUCUUUUUCCUAAAUACACAAUUACCCAAUGUUUGGAUUCCUCUAAAAAUCACUCACACCCCUCAAUAACUGCUGAGUCUCCUGAUAGUUGACUUGAAGAGACAGCACAUCAGCUGAAUUUUCAGUCUUGAAAUCCACGUGACUGAUAGUUAAUAAGGGAGCCUCCCGGAUCUGCCGGGAGCGAAAAACCAUCGGGUCUGUCCCCAGAUUUUCCCACCCAGAGUUGUCCCACUUGACUAUCUUAAGGCUCUCUAGAGGGCAAUUCAAAAGCUCGGGAGACUUUUCUUGUGAGUCCCAAGUGGGGCUUUGAGUUCAACCCAACCCAACUUAAGCCACAAAGUCCCUCAGUCUCCGGUAGCUGGGGGUUUC
This 1244-nucleotide long non-coding RNA is filed under the name Ursus maritimus (polar bear). RNAcentral's name for it is "lncRNA (ENSUMAG00000000288.1)". Lineage: Eukaryota; Metazoa; Chordata; Mammalia; Carnivora; Ursidae. The record is from RNAcentral.